AACAAGAGGCAAAUGCAAAAUUUUAAGAAUUCUGAAUCUGGACUGGCCAGUUUGGCUCAGCAAUUAGAGCGUCAGCCUGCGGUCCGGAGAGACCCGGGUUCGGUUCCCGCUAAGGAGGAGGGUAGAAAAGAUGAAGCCUUCAGUGAGCUGAGUAUUCCCCCCACCCCUGUCACCAUUACACUAUAUGUGAAGAACUCCAUAAUCCUACAAUUUACAGAAAUGUUGAAGAAGGAACUCCAAAUGUCAGUCACAAGGUAUGAGUCAUCGUGGCUGGAUUACUGAGACUGGUGAGGUGAGGGGAACGGGAGAAUCAGAGCACACAUGAGGUCA
This is a long non-coding RNA of Molossus molossus (Pallas's mastiff bat), 330 nucleotides long. RefSeq lists it as uncharacterized. Lineage: Eukaryota; Metazoa; Chordata; Mammalia; Chiroptera; Molossidae. The transcript has 3 exons. The record is from RefSeq and is a predicted model, not a curated record.